RNAcentral lists this ribosomal RNA (553 nucleotides) under Charybdis acutifrons. RNAcentral describes it as "partial 16S ribosomal RNA". It matches the Rfam family "Archaeal large subunit ribosomal RNA", at positions 2037 to 2822 of the family's 2987-position model. Lineage: Eukaryota; Metazoa; Arthropoda; Malacostraca; Decapoda; Portunidae. The record is from RNAcentral.
CAUAAUCAUUAGUUUUUUAAUUGAAAACUCGUAUGAAUGGUUGGACAAAGAAGAAGCUGUCUCUUUUAUUUAUAUUGAAUUUAACUUUUAAGUGAAAAGGCUUAAAUUCUCUAGAGGGACGAUAAGACCCUAUAAAGCUUUAUAAGUUUAAAGAUUUUAUGUAUGUUUUAUAUAAAGAUAAAUUUUAAAAUAACUUAUUUAGUUGGGGCGACAAUGGUAUAAUUAAAAUAACUGCUAUAAUGUAUUAACAAAUAUAUUUGGAUAACAUGAAUAAUUGAUCCUUUAUAAGGAUUUUAAGAUCAAGUUACUUUAGGGAUAACAGCGUUAUUUUUCCUGAGAGUUCUUAUCAAAGGAAAAGUUUGCGACCUCGAUGUUGAAUUAAAAUGUCUUUAUAGUGCAGCAGCUAUAAAAGAAGGUCUGUUCGACCUUUAAUAUUUUACAUGAUUUGAGUUCAGACCGGCGGGAGCCAGGUCGGUUUCUAUCUUCUAGAAAGUGAAAAGAGUAUUUUAGUACGAAAGGAUUGGGUAGUCGAAAUUUUUUUAAAUUAUGAAAU